This 55-nucleotide transfer RNA is filed under the name Brucella anthropi. RNAcentral describes it as "Ochrobactrum anthropi tRNA-Met". The stretch from base 1 to 49 matches the Rfam family "tRNA", at positions 17 to 64 of the family's 71-position model. Rfam says of the family: Transfer RNA (tRNA) molecules are approximately 80 nucleotides in length. Lineage: Bacteria; Pseudomonadati; Pseudomonadota; Alphaproteobacteria; Hyphomicrobiales; Brucellaceae. The record is from RNAcentral. RNAcentral also lists the same sequence under 7 other names.
GGUAGCUCGUCAGGCUCAUAACCUGAAGGCCGCAGGUUCAAAUCCUGCCCCCGCA